This 332-nucleotide unclassified non-coding RNA is filed under the name soil metagenome. RNAcentral's name for it is "partial contains 5.8S ribosomal RNA, internal transcribed spacer 2, and large subunit ribosomal RNA". The stretch from base 1 to 120 matches the Rfam family "5.8S ribosomal RNA", at positions 35 to 154 of the family's 154-position model. The record is from RNAcentral.
GAUGAAGAACGUAGCAAAAUGCGAUAAGUAAUGUGAAUUGCAGAAUUCAGUGAAUCAUCGAAUCUUUGAACGCACAUUGCGCCCUCCAGUAUUCUGGCGGGCAUGCCUGUUCGAGCGUCAUUUCAACCCUCAAGCACAGCUUGGUGUUGGGACUCGCGUUAAUUCGCGUUCCCCAAAUUGAUUGGCGGUCACGUCGAGCUUCCAUAGCGUAGUAGUAAAACCCUCGUUACUGGUAAUCGUCGCGGCCACGCCGUUAAACCCCAACUUCUGAAUGUUGACCUCGGAUCAGGUAGGAAUACCCGCUGAACUUAAGCAUAUCAAUAAGCGGAGGA